Molecule: ribosomal RNA, 2902 nt
Filed under: Escherichia coli
Lineage: Bacteria; Pseudomonadati; Pseudomonadota; Gammaproteobacteria; Enterobacterales; Enterobacteriaceae
Description: bacterial LSU rRNA
Rfam family: Bacterial large subunit ribosomal RNA
Source: RNAcentral
UUAAGCGACUAAGCGUACACGGUGGAUGCCCUGGCAGUCAGAGGCGAUGAAGGACGUGCUAAUCUGCGAUAAGCGUCGGUAAGGUGAUAUGAACCGUUAUAACCGGCGAUUUCCGAAUGGGGAAACCCAGUGUGUUUCGACACACUAUCAUUAACUGAAUCCAUAGGUUAAUGAGGCGAACCGGGGGAACUGAAACAUCUAAGUACCCCGAGGAAAAGAAAUCAACCGAGAUUCCCCCAGUAGCGGCGAGCGAACGGGGAGCAGCCCAGAGCCUGAAUCAGUGUGUGUGUUAGUGGAAGCGUCUGGAAAGGCGUGCGAUACAGGGUGACAGCCCCGUACACAAAAAUGCACAUACUGUGAGCUCGAUGAGUAGGGCGGGACACGUGGUAUCCUGUCUGAAUAUGGGGGGACCAUCCUCCAAGGCUAAAUACUCCUGACUGACCGAUAGUGAACCAGUACCGUGAGGGAAAGGCGAAAAGAACCCCGGCGAGGGGAGUGAAAAAGAACCUGAAACCGUGUACGUACAAGCAGUGGGAGCACGCUUAGGCGUGUGACUGCGUACCUUUUGUAUAAUGGGUCAGCGACUUAUAUUCUGUAGCAAGGUUAACCGAAUAGGGGAGCCGAAGGGAAACCGAGUCUUAACUGGGCGUUAAGUUGCAGGGUAUAGACCCGAAACCCGGUGAUCUAGCCAUGGGCAGGUUGAAGGUUGGGUAACACUAACUGGAGGACCGAACCGACUAAUGUUGAAAAAUUAGCGGAUGACUUGUGGCUGGGGGUGAAAGGCCAAUCAAACCGGGAGAUAGCUGGUUCUCCCCGAAAGCUAUUUAGGUAGCGCCUCGUGAAUUCAUCUCCGGGGGUAGAGCACUGUUUCGGCAAGGGGGUCAUCCCGACUUACCAACCCGAUGCAAACUGCGAAUACCGGAGAAUGUUAUCACGGGAGACACACGGCGGGUGCUAACGUCCGUCGUGAAGAGGGAAACAACCCAGACCGCCAGCUAAGGUCCCAAAGUCAUGGUUAAGUGGGAAACGAUGUGGGAAGGCCCAGACAGCCAGGAUGUUGGCUUAGAAGCAGCCAUCAUUUAAAGAAAGCGUAAUAGCUCACUGGUCGAGUCGGCCUGCGCGGAAGAUGUAACGGGGCUAAACCAUGCACCGAAGCUGCGGCAGCGACGCUGAUGCGUUGUUGGGUAGGGGAGCGUUCUGUAAGCCUGUGAAGGUGUGCUGUGAGGCAUGCUGGAGGUAUCAGAAGUGCGAAUGCUGACAUAAGUAACGAUAAAGCGGGUGAAAAGCCCGCUCGCCGGAAGACCAAGGGUUCCUGUCCAACGUUAAUCGGGGCAGGGUGAGUCGACCCCUAAGGCGAGGCCGAAAGGCGUAGUCGAUGGGAAACAGGUUAAUAUUCCUGUACUUGGUGUUACUGCGAAGGGGGGACGGAGAAGGCUAUGUUGGCCGGGCGACGGUUGUCCCGGUUUAAGCGUGUAGGCUGGUUUUCCAGGCAAAUCCGGAAAAUCAAGGCUGAGGCGUGAUGACGAGGCACUACGGUGCUGAAGCAACAAAUGCCCUGCUUCCAGGAAAAGCCUCUAAGCAUCAGGUAACAUCAAAUCGUACCCCAAACCGACACAGGUGGUCAGGUAGAGAAUACCAAGGCGCUUGAGAGAACUCGGGUGAAGGAACUAGGCAAAAUGGUGCCGUAACUUCGGGAGAAGGCACGCUGAUAUGUAGGUGAAGCGACUUGCUCGUGGAGCUGAAAUCAGUCGAAGAUACCAGCUGGCUGCAACUGUUUAUUAAAAACACAGCACUGUGCAAACACGAAAGUGGACGUAUACGGUGUGACGCCUGCCCGGUGCCGGAAGGUUAAUUGAUGGGGUCAGCGCAAGCGAAGCUCUUGAUCGAAGCCCCGGUAAACGGCGGCCGUAACUAUAACGGUCCUAAGGUAGCGAAAUUCCUUGUCGGGUAAGUUCCGACCUGCACGAAUGGCGUAAUGAUGGCCAGGCUGUCUCCACCCGAGACUCAGUGAAAUUGAACUCGCUGUGAAGAUGCAGUGUACCCGCGGCAAGACGGAAAGACCCCGUGAACCUUUACUAUAGCUUGACACUGAACAUUGAGCCUUGAUGUGUAGGAUAGGUGGGAGGCUUGGAAGUGUGGACGCCAGUCUGCAUGGAGCCGACCUUGAAAUACCACCCUUUAAUGUUUGAUGUUCUAACGUUGACCCGUAAUCCGGGUUGCGGACAGUGUCUGGUGGGUAGUUUGACUGGGGCGGUCUCCUCCUAAAGAGUAACGGAGGAGCACGAAGGUUGGCUAAUCCUGGUCGGACAUCAGGAGGUUAGUGCAAUGGCAUAAGCCAGCUUGACUGCGAGCGUGACGGCGCGAGCAGGUGCGAAAGCAGGUCAUAGUGAUCCGGUGGUUCUGAAUGGAAGGGCCAUCGCUCAACGGAUAAAAGGUACUCCGGGGAUAACAGGCUGAUACCGCCCAAGAGUUCAUAUCGACGGCGGUGUUUGGCACCUCGAUGUCGGCUCAUCACAUCCUGGGGCUGAAGUAGGUCCCAAGGGUAUGGCUGUUCGCCAUUUAAAGUGGUACGCGAGCUGGGUUUAGAACGUCGUGAGACAGUUCGGUCCCUAUCUGCCGUGGGCGCUGGAGAACUGAGGGGGGCUGCUCCUAGUACGAGAGGACCGGAGUGGACGCAUCACUGGUGUUCGGGUUGUCAUGCCAAUGGCACUGCCCGGUAGCUAAAUGCGGAAGAGAUAAGUGCUGAAAGCAUCUAAGCACGAAACUUGCCCCGAGAUGAGUUCUCCCUGACCCUUUAAGGGUCCUGAAGGAACGUUGAAGACGACGACGUUGAUAGGCCGGGUGUGUAAGCGCAGCGAUGCGUUGAGCUAACCGGUACUAAUGAACCGUGAGGCUUAACCUU